This 481-nucleotide ribosomal RNA is filed under the name uncultured bacterium. RNAcentral's name for it is "partial 16S ribosomal RNA". It matches the Rfam family "Bacterial small subunit ribosomal RNA", at positions 28 to 507 of the family's 1533-position model. The record is from RNAcentral.
GACGAACGUUGGCGGCGUGCUUAAUACAUGCAAGUCAACUGAAGCAGUGGUAGCAAUAUCGCUGCGGAGGUGGCGCACGGGUGAGUAACACGUAGGUAAUCUGCCUUCAGGUCUGGCAUAACUCCGGGAAACCGGGGCUAAUAGCAGAUGAUGCAGCGGCUCGACAUCGAGACAGUUGUUAAAGCUAUGGCGCCUGAAGAUGAGCCUGCGUCUGAUUAGCUAGUUGGCGGGGUAACGGCCCACCAAGGCAACGAUCAGUAGCUGGUCUGAGAGGAUGAUCAGCCACACUGGAACUGAGACACGGUCCAGACUCCUACGGGAGGCAGCAGUAAGGAAUAUUGCUCAAUGGGAGAAAUCCUGAAGCAGCAACGCCGCGUGAGGGACGAAGGGCUUUUGCUUGUAAACCUCUGUAGUGAGAGAAAAAAAUCCCAAUCUUUGGGACAUGAUGGUAUCUCAAAAGUAAGCCCCGGCUAACUACGUG